This 479-nucleotide RNase P RNA is filed under the name Phycisphaerae bacterium. Its description in RNAcentral is "RNase P RNA component class A". It matches the Rfam family "Bacterial RNase P class A". From Rfam's summary of the family: Ribonuclease P (RNase P) is a ubiquitous endoribonuclease, found in archaea, bacteria and eukarya as well as chloroplasts and mitochondria. Its best characterised activity is the generation of mature 5'-ends of tRNAs by cleaving the 5'-leader elements of precursor-tRNAs. Cellular RNase Ps are ribonucleoproteins. Lineage: Bacteria; Pseudomonadati; Planctomycetota; Phycisphaerae. The record is from RNAcentral.
UGGGGUGGCCAGGUGAUCGCCCGGCGAAGGUCGGGAGGAAAGUCCGAACACCGCAGGGUACGGUGGUGGGUAACGCCCACCCGUCGGCUUGGCCUUGGGGCCGGGCAGGCGCGGGAAAGUGCCACAGAAACUAAACCGCCGAUGUCGGCUAGUCCGGCAGGCAAGGGUGAAAAGGUGCGGUAAGAGCGCACCGCGGCGAUGGUGACACCGCCGGCAUGGAAAACCCCACCGGGUGCAAGACCAAAUAGGAGGCCGAAGCGUUGGCCCGACGCGUGCCUGUCAUAGGCGACGAUGUCCCCGUCAAGGAAGUUGCCGGCAGGAUGGCAGUAGCUGAAGUACGAAGUUUUCGUAAGAAAAUAAGGAAACAGCGCUGGGGUAGGCUUCGGGUAGGUUGCUUGAGGGCAACAGCAAUGUUGCUCCCAGAUAAAUGAUCACCGCCGGUAACGGCACAGAAUUCGGCUUAUCGGCCAUCCCAAGAG